Eriocheir sinensis (Chinese mitten crab) is the source of this 2548-nucleotide long non-coding RNA. RefSeq lists it as uncharacterized. The record is from RefSeq and is a predicted model, not a curated record. NCBI's taxonomy places the organism in Eukaryota, Metazoa, Arthropoda, Malacostraca, Decapoda, Varunidae. The transcript has 5 exons.
AUGUGUUUUCUACAGUAAGGAAGGUUAACUUUUGUAUGUGUUUUCUACAGUAAGGAAGGUUAACUUUUGUAUAUGUUUUCUACAGUAAGGAAGGUUAACUUUUGUAUAUGUUUUCUACAGUAAGGAAGGUUAACUUUUGUAUGUGUUUUCUACAGUAAGGAAGGUUAAGUUUUGUAUAUGUUUUCUACAGUAAGGAAGGUUAACUUUUGUAUGUGUUUUCUACAGUAAGGAAGGUUAACUUUUGUAUAUGUUUUCUACAGUAAGGAAGGUUAAGUUUUGUAUAUGUUUUCUACAGUAAGGAAGGUUAACUUUUGUAUGUGUUUUCUACAGUAAGGAAGGUUAACUUUUGUAUGUGUUUUCUACAGUAAGGAAGGUUAACUUUUGUAUGUGUUUUCUACAGUAAGGAAGGUUAACUUUUGUAUGUGUUUUCUACAGUAAGGAAGGUUAACUUUUGUAUGUGUUUUCUACAGUAAGGAAGGUUAACUUUUGUAUGUGUUUUCUACAGUAAGGAAGGUUAACUUUUGUAUGUGUUUUCUACAGUAAGGAAGGUUAACUUUUGUAUGUGUUUUCUACAGCAAGGAAGGUUAACUUUUGUAUGUGUUUUCUACGGUAAGGAAGGUUAACUUUUGUAUGUGUUUUCUACAGUAAGGAAGGUUAACUUUUGUAUGUGUUUUCUACAGUAAGGAAGGUUAAGUUUUGUAUGUGUUUUCUACAGUAAGGAAGGUUAACUUUUGUACAUAUCAUUUAGAGUAAGGAAGGUUAACUUUUGUAUAUAUCAUUUAGUCACCACCAGGACAACACAGUAUAGUCAGCACACACUCAGUCAGCACUUUUGGUCAGCACUUUCAGUCAGCACUUUUGAUCAGCACUUUCAGUCAGCACUUUUGAUCAGCACUUUCAGUCAGCACUUUUGGUCAGCACUUUUGGUCAGCACUUUCAGUCAGCACUUUUGAUCAGCACUUUCAGUCAGCACUUUUGAUCAGCACUUUCAGUCAGCACUUUUGGUCAGCACUUUCAGUCAGCACUUUUGAUCAGCACUUUCAGUCAGCACUUUUGGUCAGCACUUUCAGUCAGCACUUUUGGUCAGCACUUUUGGUCAGCACUCACAAAGACAACACAAGCUAUCACACUGCACUCCUGUCAUCACGGAAGCUGUUUCUGGCAUACUAAUGAACUGAAUGAUGUGCUUAUGUGUGGUUUUGGGAUGUAGGUCAAGUUGUUCUUCCGUCCUUCCUUUCUUUCCUUCCUUCCUUCUUUCUUUCCUUCUUUUCCUUGGUUUCUUUCUUCCUUUCUCUCUUCCUCAACUUUUCUUUCCUUCUUUCUUUUCUUCCUUCUUCCUCUCUUCCUUCUUUCUUUCCUUCUUUUCCUCUACUUUCCUUUCCUUGGUUUCUUUCUUCCUUUCUCUCUUCCUCAACUUUUCUUUCCUUCUUUCUUUUCUUCCUUCUUCCUCUCUUCCUUCUUUCUUUCCUUCUUUUCCUCUACUUUCCUUUCCUUGGUUUCUUUCUUCCUUUCUCUCUUCCUCAACUUUUCUUUCCUUCUUUCUUUUCUUCCUUCUUCCUCUCCUCCUUCUUUCUUUCCUUCCCUUUUAGCCUUUCUUCUUUGCUUCCCUUUAUCUUCAACUUUUCCUUCUUUCUUUCUUUCUCUUCCUUCUUUCCUUCCCUCUCUCCUUCCUUCUUUCCUUCCCUUCCUUCUCUUCCUUCUUUCCUUUCCUUCAAUCUGAGUCAAACUGUUUUUCCUCCUUCCUCUCCUUCCUUCCUUCCCUUCCCUUUCUUUCUUCCUUCCUUCUCGGUCUAUCCUCAACUCAAAAUCUUAACUGGAAGCUUCACAUCUCCUCUCUCACUAAAUCAGCUUCCCCGAGGUUGAGCGUUCUGUAUCGUCUCCGCCAGUUCUUUUUUCAACCGCGCAGAAACACUAGAGGCUUUGUCCGCCCUAGUAUGGAGUAUGUAACCAUCUCACUUAUUGGGGGCACACACACACACACACACACACACACACACACAGUCAGUCAGUCAGUCAGUCAGUCAGCCACCCCCACAGUCAGCCAGUCAGCGGUAUGGUGGGUUUCAUUGUGUUAACUGGCCCACCAACAAUUUAAUGAGAGAAGAUGAAGCCAUGUCGCUCUCUCUCAACCUCCUAGCUCCUCCUCCUCUUCCUCUUCCUUCUCCUCUUCCUUGUACCAGUUAACUUUGUCCUUCCUUCCUCCCUCUCUUCCUUCUUUUUUUUUUUCCUUCUUUCUUCUUCUCCUGUUCUGUUGUUGUUUUCUUCGCUCAUUUUUUCUUCUUCUCUUUUUUCUUCCUUGCUUGUCUUCUCCCUCUUUUAUCAUAUUUUCCUUCUUCUAUUUGUUUUGUUUUUCUUCCUUUUUCUCUUUUCUUUACUAUUUUCUUAUAUUUCUAUCUUUUUUUUCUUUCUUUCUUUUCUUCCUUCAUUUCAAGCGUAUCAUUUUCUUUCUUCUUCUUUACAAUGAACAGAAAAAUGACAAUGAGGAGGAGGAGGAGGAGUUAGAAGAAGAAGAAGAAGAAGAAGAAGAAGAAGAAGAAGAGGAGGAGGA